CGGACACUUAAUAGACACUCAAUGCAAGAAAACACCUAGAUGGGGAUGUCAAGUCUCAUCCAUCAUCAAAAAUGAAGUCAGAAAUCUGAAUGAGAAUCUCGAGGCACUUCCAAGAAUUCCCAAAGAAAUUGUUAUUCUUAGCUUCAGGAUAAAGAUGAGAAAG
Ailuropoda melanoleuca (giant panda) is the source of this 163-nucleotide long non-coding RNA. RefSeq lists it as uncharacterized. The transcript has 3 exons. The record is from RefSeq and is a predicted model, not a curated record. Lineage: Eukaryota; Metazoa; Chordata; Mammalia; Carnivora; Ursidae.